Molecule: transfer RNA, 75 nt
Filed under: Caudoviricetes sp.
Lineage: Duplodnaviria; Heunggongvirae; Uroviricota; Caudoviricetes
Description: tRNA-OTHER
Rfam family: tRNA
About the family: Transfer RNA (tRNA) molecules are approximately 80 nucleotides in length.
Source: RNAcentral
GCGCCUAUAAUUCAAAGGUAGAAGUCAGGUCUCUAAAACCUGUAUGUGCUGUCUCGAAAGCAGCUGGGCGUGCCA